Molecule: non-coding RNA, 426 nt
Organism: Trichechus manatus latirostris (Florida manatee)
Lineage: Eukaryota; Metazoa; Chordata; Mammalia; Sirenia; Trichechidae
Source: the annotation of a RefSeq genome assembly
AUGGGUCCCAACCUCCUCUUCCCUGUGGCCCUCUGUGUCGUGUGGGCAGGGCACACAGAUGCUGGUGUCACCCAGACCCCAAGGCACAAGGUCACAAGGACAGGAGGGAUUGUGACCCUGCAAUGCACCCAGGACAUGAACCACAACUACAUGUACCCGGGACUGGGGCUGCGGCUGAUCCACUACUCAUCUGGUGUUCGUGUUACUGACAAAGGAGACCUCCCUGAUGGGUACAAUGUCUCCAGAUCAAACACGAGGAACUUCCCCCUCAUGCUGGAGUCGGCCGCCCCCUCGCAGACAGCUGUGUACUUCUGCGCCAGCAGCUCCUCUGCUGGCCGUCUCUCUGCCUCCUGGGGGCAGAACACAAAGAAGCUGGAGUUGUCCAGACCCCCAGACAUAAGAUUACAGAGCACAUACAGGCCGUGA